GCCUUGGUGGUGAAAUGGUAGACACACAGGACUUAAAAUCCUGUGGGAGUAAUCCCGUGCCGGUUCGAGUCCGGCCCGAGGCACCA
Molecule: transfer RNA, 86 nt
Filed under: Streptobacillus moniliformis
Lineage: Bacteria; Fusobacteriati; Fusobacteriota; Fusobacteriia; Fusobacteriales; Leptotrichiaceae
Also listed under: 1 other name
Description: tRNA-Leu
Rfam family: tRNA
About the family: Transfer RNA (tRNA) molecules are approximately 80 nucleotides in length. Their secondary structure includes four short double-helical elements and three loops (D, anti-codon, and T loops).
Source: RNAcentral